AAUACGUUCCCGGGCCUUGUACACACCGCCCGUCACACCACGAAAGCGGGCAACACCCGAAGCCGGUGUCCUAACCCUUACGGGAGGGAACCGUCGAAGGUGGGGCUCGUGAUUGGGGUG
Molecule: ribosomal RNA, 120 nt
Filed under: uncultured bacterium
Lineage: Bacteria
Description: partial 16S ribosomal RNA
Rfam family: Bacterial small subunit ribosomal RNA
Source: RNAcentral